CUACGGGGGGCUGCAGUGAGGAAUAUUGGACAAUGGGGGCAACCCUGAUCCAGCAAUGCCGCGUGAGUGAAGAAGGCCUUCGGGUUGUAAAGCUCUUUCAUCUGUGACGAUAAUGACGGUAACAGAAGAAGAAGCCCCGGCUAACUCCGUGCCAGCAGGCCGCGGUAAUACGGAGGGGGCGAGCGUUGUUCGGAAUUACUGGGCGUAAAGGGCGCGUAGGCGGCCCAUCAAGUUAGGCGUGAAAGCCCCGGGCUCAACCUGGGAAUUGCGCUUAAGACUGGUGAGCUAGAGUACGAGAGAGGAAAAUGGAAUUCCUAGUGUAGAGGUGAAAUUCGUAGAUAUUAGGAAGAACACCAGUGGCGAAGGCGGUUUUCUGGCUCGUAACUGACGCUGAGGCGCGAAAGCGUGGGGAGCAAACAGGAUUAGAUACCCGCGUAGUC
RNAcentral lists this ribosomal RNA (440 nucleotides) under uncultured bacterium. Its description in RNAcentral is "partial 16S ribosomal RNA". It matches the Rfam family "Bacterial small subunit ribosomal RNA", at positions 339 to 795 of the family's 1533-position model. The record is from RNAcentral.